GUAAGGAAUAUUGGUCAAUGGACGAAAGUCUGAACCAGCCAUGCCGCGUGAAGGAUGAAGGCCCUCUGGGUUGUAAACUUCUUUUAUCUGGGACGAAAAAAGGGUAUUCUUACUCACUUGACGGUACCAGAGGAAUAAGCACCGGCUAACUCCGUGCCAGCAGCCGCGGUAAUACGGAGGGUGCAAGCGUUAUCCGGAUUCACUGGGUUUAAAGGGUGCGUAGGUGGGUAUUUAAGUCAGUGGUGAAAUCUCCGAGCUUAACUCGGAAACUGACAUUGAUACUAUUUACCUUGAAUGCCCUGGAGGUAAGCGGAAUAUGUCAUGUAGCGGUGAAAUGAUUAGAUAUGACAUAGAACACCAAUUGCGAAGGCAGCUUACUACGGGGUGAUUGACACUGAGGCACGAAAGCGUGGGGAGCAAACAGGAUUAGAAACCCUGGUAGUCC
RNAcentral lists this ribosomal RNA (445 nucleotides) under uncultured bacterium. RNAcentral describes it as "partial 16S ribosomal RNA". It matches the Rfam family "Bacterial small subunit ribosomal RNA", at positions 354 to 796 of the family's 1533-position model. The record is from RNAcentral.